Molecule: ribosomal RNA, 200 nt
Filed under: uncultured Aerococcus sp.
Lineage: Bacteria; Bacillati; Bacillota; Bacilli; Lactobacillales; Aerococcaceae
Description: partial 16S ribosomal RNA
Rfam family: Bacterial small subunit ribosomal RNA
Source: RNAcentral
GGGAUAACAUUCGGAAACGGGUGCUAAUACCGCAUAAUAUCUUCUUCCGCAUGGAAGAAGAUUGAAAGACGGCUCUGCUGUCACUUAUAGAUGACCUUGCGGUGCAUUAGUUAGUUGGUGGGGUAACGGCCUACCAAGACGAUGAUGCAUAGCCGACCUGAGAGGGUGAUCGGCCACAUUGGGACUGAGACACGGCCCAA